UCUCUGCAAUCCUUUUGAAAGCUUGGCCAUGUCAAUGUCUGAUCAUCCCCAUCAUUUGCAUGGCCAAGCUCUCAAAAGGAUUGUAGAGA
RNAcentral lists this microRNA precursor (89 nucleotides) under Picea abies (Norway spruce). RNAcentral's name for it is "miR11436c stem-loop (pab-MIR11436c)". The record is from miRBase by way of RNAcentral. Lineage: Eukaryota; Viridiplantae; Streptophyta; Pinopsida; Pinales; Pinaceae.